UAAAUUAACUGACGCUGAGGUACGAAAGCAUGGGGAGCAAACAGGAUWARAKACCCUGGUAGUCCAUGCCGUAAACGAUGUCUACUAGCCGUUGGGGCCUUUGAGGCUUUAGUGGCGCAGCUAACGCGAUAAGUAGACCGCCUGGGGAGUACGGUCGCAAGACUAAAACUCAAAUGAAUUGACGGGGGCCCGCACAASCGGUGGAGCAUGUGGUUUAAUUCGAUGCAACGCGAAGAACCUUACCUGGSCUUGACRUACUAGAAACUUUCCAGAGAUGGAUUGGUGCCUUCGGGAAUCUAGAUACAGGUGCUGCAUGSCUGUCRUCAGCUCGYGUCGUGAGAUGUUGGGUUAMCUCCUCGCCCGAGCUCACCCCYUUUUCCUWYCUUGCCUGU
RNAcentral lists this ribosomal RNA (392 nucleotides) under Acinetobacter baumannii. RNAcentral describes it as "partial 16S ribosomal RNA". It matches the Rfam family "Bacterial small subunit ribosomal RNA", at positions 732 to 1122 of the family's 1533-position model. The record is from RNAcentral. Lineage: Bacteria; Pseudomonadati; Pseudomonadota; Gammaproteobacteria; Moraxellales; Moraxellaceae.